GACGAACGCUGGCGGCGUGCUUAACACAUGCAAGUCGAACGGAAAGGCCCUGCGUUUGUGGGGUUCUCGAGUGGCGAACGCGGGAGUGACACGUGAGUAACCUGCCCUUGACUUUGGGGUAACUUCAGGAAACUGGGGCUAAUACAGGAUAGGAUCUCCUGCUGCGUGGUGGGCAUUGGAAAGUUUCGGCUGUUGGGGCUGGACUCGCGGCUUAUCAGCUUGUUGGUGGGGUAGUGGCUUCCCAAGGCUUUGAAGGGUAGCCGGCCUGAGAGGGGGAACGGCGACAAUGCGCCUGCGGGACGGAGCAGUCUCCUACGGGAGGCAGCAGUGGGGAACCUUGCACAAUGGGCGGAAGCCUGAGGAGGAAGCGUCGCGUGCGGGAUGCCGGCUUUCGGGGUGUGAACAGCUGUCGCCUGAGACGAAGCGGGAGUGACGGUAAUGGGUAAAGAAGCACCGGCUAACUACGUG
This 468-nucleotide ribosomal RNA is filed under the name uncultured bacterium. RNAcentral's name for it is "partial 16S ribosomal RNA". It matches the Rfam family "Bacterial small subunit ribosomal RNA", at positions 28 to 507 of the family's 1533-position model. The record is from RNAcentral.